RNAcentral lists this non-coding RNA (24 nucleotides) under Arabidopsis thaliana (thale cress). The record is from RNAcentral. Lineage: Eukaryota; Viridiplantae; Streptophyta; Magnoliopsida; Brassicales; Brassicaceae.
AGCCACGUCAGCGCACCUAAUACA